CUGGCCUCAAAUCAGGUAGGACUACCCGCUGAACUUAAGCAUAUCAAUAAGC
This 52-nucleotide ribosomal RNA is filed under the name Apiotrichum akiyoshidainum. RNAcentral describes it as "Trichosporon akiyoshidainum partial 28S ribosomal RNA". The record is from RNAcentral. Lineage: Eukaryota; Fungi; Basidiomycota; Tremellomycetes; Trichosporonales; Trichosporonaceae.